This 397-nucleotide transfer-messenger RNA is filed under the name bacterium. It matches the Rfam family "transfer-messenger RNA". Rfam says of the family: Bacterial tmRNA, also known as 10Sa RNA or SsrA, is named for its dual tRNA and mRNA-like properties. The record is from RNAcentral.
GGGGGUGAAUUGGAAUCGAUUGGCGUAGAUAGUCAUACGGGGCACGUAGUGAGAUGUUAUCUAUCACUUUAAUCUAUGGUGACACUUUUUUUAACUGGCGAAACAAUCGCAAAACUUCAGGCUGUAGGUCUUCUACGCACUGAAGAAGUAACUGUAGCGUAAGACGCAACAGUGAAACGGGUCGGUGGACAUAUAACCUUUGAACAGAAGUCUGUAUAUGGGAGUCACAGGUCAGAGCUCUCUUAAAUAACUCUGAGACCAGGUUGUUUAUUGGUUUGUUUCCCACACACAUCAAACCAUUUAUUUCGGAAUGUUGAGAAUCAACAUUGACCUAAACGUGUAGUCCUUUAUGGGUGAUGCGAACAAGACUCGGGUUCGACUCCCGACACCUCCACCA